GACGAACGCUGGCGGCGUGCUUAACACAUGCAAGUCGAACGGAAAGGCCCUGCUCUUGCUGGUUGCUCGAUUGGCGAACGGGUGAGUAACACGUGAGUAACCUGCCCUUGACUUUGGGAUAACUUCAGGAAACUGCGGCUAAUACCCGAUAGGAUCUCCUGCUGCAUGGUGGGGGUUGGAAAGUUUCGGCGGUUGGGGAUGGACUCGCGGCUUAUCAGCUUGUUGGUGUGGUAGUGGCUUACCAAGGCUUUGACGGGUAGCCGGCCUGAGAGGGUGACCGGGCACAUGGCGACUGAGAUACGGCCCAGACUCCUACGGGAGGCAGCAGUGGGGAGUCUUACACAAUGGGCGGAAGUCUGAUGCAGCAACGCCGCGUGCGGGAUGACGGCCUUCGGGUUGUAAACCGCUUUCGAAUGUGACGAAGCGUGAGUGACGGUAAUGGGUAAAGAAGCACCGGCUAACUACGUG
RNAcentral lists this ribosomal RNA (468 nucleotides) under uncultured bacterium. Its description in RNAcentral is "partial 16S ribosomal RNA". It matches the Rfam family "Bacterial small subunit ribosomal RNA", at positions 28 to 507 of the family's 1533-position model. The record is from RNAcentral.